This 520-nucleotide ribosomal RNA is filed under the name uncultured Ascomycota. Its description in RNAcentral is "LSU rRNA". It matches the Rfam family "Eukaryotic large subunit ribosomal RNA", at positions 399 to 927 of the family's 3401-position model. Lineage: Eukaryota; Fungi; Ascomycota. The record is from RNAcentral.
GUGAAAUUGUUGAAAGGGAAGCGCUUGCGAUCAGACUCGCCCGGGGAGGUUCAGCCGGCACUUGUGCCGGUGCAUUCCUGCCCGGGCGGGCCAGCGUCGGUUUGGACGGCCCGUCAAAGGCUCCCGGAAGGUAGCGCCCCGCUCGGGGCGUCUUAUAGCCGGGGGUGCCAUGCGGCCUGUCCGGACCGAGGAACGCGCCUUCGGGCUCGGACGCUGGCGUAAUGGUCGUAAGCGGCCCGUCUUGAAACACGGACCAAGGAGUCUAACAUCCACGCGAGUGUUCGGGUGUUCAAAACCCGUCCGCGCAGUGAAAGCGAACGGAGGUGGGAACCCCCUUCCCGGGGGGUGCACCAUCGACCGAUCCUGAUGUCUUCGGAUGGAUUUGAGUAGGAGCGUGGCUGUUGGGACCCGAAAGAUGGUGAACUAUGCCUGAAUAGGGCGAAGCCAGAGGAAACUCUGGUGGAGGCUCGCAGCGAUUCUGACGUGCAAAUCAAUCGUCAAAUUUGGGUAUAGGGGCGAA